This 259-nucleotide ribosomal RNA is filed under the name Nocardioides sp. ISO893_OTU165. RNAcentral's name for it is "partial 16S ribosomal RNA". It matches the Rfam family "Bacterial small subunit ribosomal RNA", at positions 29 to 289 of the family's 1533-position model. Lineage: Bacteria; Bacillati; Actinomycetota; Actinomycetes; Propionibacteriales; Nocardioidaceae. The record is from RNAcentral.
ACGAACGCUGGCGGCGUGCUUAACACAUGCAAGUCGAGCGGUAAGGCUCCUUCGGGAGUACACGAGCGGCGAACGGGUGAGUAACACGUGAGUAAUCUGCCCUUCACUUCGGGAUAACCGCCGGAAACGGUGGCUAAUACCGAAUACGACGCGCUUUCGCAUGAGAUGCGCGUGGAAAGUUUUAUCGGUGAAGGAUGUGCUCGCGGCCUAUCAGCUUGUUGGUGAGGUAACGGCUCACCAAGGCUUCGACGGGUAGCCG